This is a long non-coding RNA of Amphiprion ocellaris (clown anemonefish), 1595 nucleotides long. RefSeq lists it as uncharacterized. NCBI's taxonomy places the organism in Eukaryota, Metazoa, Chordata, Actinopteri, Pomacentridae. The transcript has 2 exons. The record is from RefSeq and is a predicted model, not a curated record.
CCUACUUGUUGCGAGCCAUACGGCGGCGGCAGCGUCCCGGAGCUGUCAAAUAUUGCGCACAGGCUUCAGUGUUGAGUCCGUGAAGUAACCAGACUAAUCCAGCAAGACAGACAACUCGGAAGAUUAACCUUUUUUUAAUUUAAUUUUAUUUUUUUAGCCUCGCAAAACAAGUUGUUGUUGUCCGCGCACCCGGAAGCCUGCUUUUAAAAUCAUGAUCAUUUCUGUCACAUGGUUUUGGAGAAUUCAAUAACAACAAAAAAUGGCGACAAUCACGUUGCUCGGUGUGGUCUUGCUGCGUCAUUAAAAAUAUUCAUGUAAACACGGGGGAUUAAACGGGGCAAUCGCAGCCCGCCCCUGUUUUAGUUGCUGCACAUGUUGCCGUCCACGUCCUCCGUGGACAGCUUUUGGCCAGUGCGCCCUAAUGGAGUUGUUUACAUGAAGCGCGGAGGGGCGGACUCGGCCUGGCGAGGGAGGAGGAGCCGCUACGUCGGCCAAAGCGACGCGACCGGACUGCUCGAGAGGCUUCUCCCGCCGAGGAGGGUGAGGAGGAGGGGAGGAGGGGAAGAGGGGAGGAAGGGGAGGAGAGAGCAGGGGGAGGAGCCGGCGACCAGAAUCAUAACAAGUCUGACAUCACUCGGCCUUGUGGUUUGUAUGAAUAAUAUACUGUCUCGUCCAAAAGCAGCAAAGAGGUGAGGGAGGGAAAAGAAAGAAAUGAAGUCUUUGUACCCGUUAUUGUUUUAUGAGAUGAAACAUUUGCCAGGAUUCUGUGCAGCAGCAAACUGGAGACUUAAAAAAAAAAGGAAAAAAAAGCUCAACUCCAAGCUGAGAGACAUCACAGAUCCACAUCUAUUAGGUCACUGGGUUCGUGUUGCAUGUGCUGCCUUGUGCAUUAACUGGAUUUUCUUUAGACACUGUUAAAGCGCCAAUGAAAAAUGUUUUUUGAAAAGUGAUGUCAGUGGAUUUCCAUGUGUUUGUCACUGUUACAUGCAACUCCUACCCAAAACCACUAUUUUUUUAACACAUAAUGUGCAACUGUGUCUGUGUUAUGAAGGACAGAAUCAAUAUUUGUAACAGUUUGUCUGUGCAAAUAGCAAAACCUGUCAUACCUCCUACCAGAAUAAUGAUUCUUUGACUGUAAAUGUUGAGGGAUUUAACUGACUGCAGCCUCUCACAUAACAGAGCCUUUCUUUUAGCAGACUGCAUGUUUAGUUCUGCACUAACCAACUAUGAAUGGGCCUUUUUUUAAUCUCGGACUUUGAAACUUUAUUUACGAGGGAAUCAUUUUUGACGAAAAUGUUUUGUUUUGUUUUUUUUUUAAAUGUAAAUCCCAUCUUUAGAAGGUCAUUGGUGGAAUGGAUACUUCAAUAACUGAUGUAUUGUUAAAUUGCAUGCCUAUAGCAGUCUGCAAAAUGAAUCUGUUAUAGUUGUAGCUUCUGUGUGGUACAAUAUAUGAGAAGCUGGAGAUAUUACAUGAGAUACCACCAGAGGAGCUGCAGGAAUGCGAAAGGAAAACGUUAUCGUACAGCACGGAUAUUAUGGGUGGAUGACAAAUGGAGUGAAGCCACGGACUGCUAGAUUUGACAGGCUGCCCUGGU